GGCCGGACUUGGUCGUCGCGCCUCUGCUGGGGGACUCGUUGCUUCGGCGGCGAGGUACCUACGUUACUGUGAAGAAAUUAGAGUGUUUAAAGCAGCGAUCGCUUGAUACAUCAGCAUGGAUAACAGAUAUGACAUAUGUCUCUGUUGUCUUGUGGACAACAAGUAAUGAUCAUAGGGCCAGUUGGGGGCAUUAGUAUUCAGUAGUCAGAGGUGAAAUUCUUGGAUUUACUGAAGACUAUCUAAUGCGAAAGCAUUUGCCAAGGAUGUUUUCCUUAAUCAAGAACGAAAGUUAGGGGAUCGAAGACGAUCAGAACCGUCGUAGUCUUAACUAUAAACGAUGCCGACUAAGGAUCGGCCAGAAGUCGUAGCGACUCUGUCGGCACUUUGUGAGAAAUCCAAAGUUUUUGGGUUCUGGGGGGAGUAUGGUCGCAAGGCUGAAACUUAAAGGAAUUGACGGAAGGGCACCACCAGGAGUGGAGCCGCGGCUUAAUUUGACUCAACACGGGAAAACUCACCAGGUCCGGACAUAGUAAGGAUUGACAGAUUGAGAGCUCUUUCUUGAUUCUGUGGGUGGUGGUGCAUGGCCGUUCUUAGUUGGUGGAGCGAUUUGUCUGGUUAAUUCCGAUAACGAACGAGACCUUAACCUGCUAACUAGUUGCAGGUACUUUUGUAUCUGACACUUCUUAGAGGGACUGACUA
This 699-nucleotide ribosomal RNA is filed under the name uncultured eukaryote. RNAcentral's name for it is "SSU rRNA". It matches the Rfam family "Eukaryotic small subunit ribosomal RNA", at positions 689 to 1426 of the family's 1831-position model. The record is from RNAcentral.